Molecule: ribosomal RNA, 433 nt
Filed under: uncultured bacterium
Lineage: Bacteria
Description: partial 16S ribosomal RNA
Rfam family: Bacterial small subunit ribosomal RNA
Source: RNAcentral
AACGAACGCUGGCGGCAUGCCUAACACAUGCAAGUCGAACGAGACCUUCGGGUCUAGUGGCGCACGGGUGCGUAACGCGUGGGAACCUGCCCUUAUGCUCGGAAUAACUCCCCGAAAGGGGUGCUAAUACCGGAUAAUGUCUUCGGACCAAAGAUUUAUCGCCUUUGGAUGGGCCCGCGUUGGAUUAGCUAGUUGGUAGGGUAAAAGCCUACCAAGGCGACGAUCCAUAGCUGGUCUGAGAGGAUGAUCAGCCACACUGGGACUGAGACACGGCCCAGACUCCUACGGGAGGCAGCAGUGGGGAAUAUUGGACAAUGGGCGAAAGCCUGAUCCAGCAAUGCCGCGUGAGUGAUGAAGGCCUUAGGGUUGUAAAGCUCUUUUACCCGGGAUGAUAAUGACAGUACCGGGAGAAUAAGCACCGGCUAACUCCGUG